This 5495-nucleotide long non-coding RNA is filed under the name Xyrichtys novacula (pearly razorfish). The record is from RNAcentral. Lineage: Eukaryota; Metazoa; Chordata; Actinopteri; Labriformes; Labridae.
GCUCUUUCUAUUCCCGCUCUGGACCCCUCAAAGCGAGCGGCGAGAGAGCGAGCUGCUCAUUCCUCCCUCGUUCUCUCCAUCUAUAACAGCCUGAGUUGUGACAAUUCAAUCUGUUCAGCGUCUCCCCGCAUGAAUUAUGGAUGAACCCUGCAACCUCUGAAUGUGGAGGGGAUUUACGCUUUAUAACUGCUGCUGCUCGUGUCACGGGCUCAAUGAGGAUUUGAAAGAGGUUGGGGGGGAAAAAUUUAAGGUAAUUCAGAGCGCAUCAAAUCAGUUGAAAUGCCAGUAUUAAUAUCCUCUGAUGGCCGAGCACUGAUUCACUCUUGUGUGCUGAAAGCCAUUAGCAAAGCUCAUUGGGAGAGGGCAGGGCUGUGACUUCUCUGAUAAGCAAUUACUGGAGCAUCAUUCUGUCCUGAUGAACUGCUAUGAGAAAGCGGCUCCCACAGGUCGAAUAAACAGAGAGAUCCCAUCAAGACUCCUUAGAGGUACAACAGGAUACCAGCCUGUUCAUGGAGAUGAUCAAAUAUUGAUGCUCUGCUGCUGCUUUCAUUCAAUCCAGAUCACCUUUUAGUGUGUUUUCUUCCACUCCAACUCCGGGCUGAUGUUAAACAGACUCUCUGCUCAGUUCUAGGUGUAAAAGGACUCCGUUUUGGGCUCUGCUUUAGCUGCUUUUGGUAGAGCUUGUGCCUCAUAUACACUUGUGAGUUGUAGUUAUGUCAGCAUGGUGUUCAGCUAUUGCUCACAGCUCUUUGCUGCAAUUUAUUUCUAGUCUUUUUCCCAGAUUAAUAUCAAUAUCUAAUAUUUUGACCCGCUGACAUUGGUUAAAGGACCGUGCUUUCAGUUUAUCAUCCAGUUUCUCUCUCUGAAGGCCAGCACCGAUGACUAAACCCUGAGUUUUGUUCUGGUUGAGCUGUAAAAAGCUCAUGACUCCAUAUCUAAAAUACAGUUAGAUAGUGUACCGAUAGUGUCAUCAGGAGACACGCCAAUAUAGAGCUGUGUGUCAUCUGCAUAGAAGUUGAUCCUGUUUCUCCUGAUUUCAUUUCCAAGUUGUGACAUUUCACAUUAUAACAUAAUUCCAAUUAUUGAUUUUGAGUGCACCUGUUUUGAACGCACAUAUACAGAGGCUACAUUGGCCUUCCCAUGAUCCUCAGCGACAGUUACCAUGGUGAAAGAUGCCUCAGAGCGCUUCAAGCGCCAAAAUCUUCCGUUGUAACAGAGCUCUGGUUGUCAUUUUUUCUACAGUCGUAUCUUCCUCCUUCACUGUGACCGAUACGAUACGUAGGAUGCAUCCGUCUCCAUGACAACAGGUUAGCCUUUCUCUACCACUCUGGCCUGGACGUUUUGGUUAUAUAGAAAAACAAAUAAACAAAAUGUUGACUCAUUUUUUUGGAUUGAAUGGAAUAAUUGAACAGACGGAUAAUACACCGACCAAAUUACUUCAUGUUACGUAAUGAAAGGUAACUUGACGUAACUUAACAUGUUGUAAUGAAAGUUUUUGGUAAUUUUUGUAACUUAACGAUACAGAAACUAAUGUUAUAAAAAGUUACAGAAGGUGACCUAAUGCAAAGUAAUCCGACCUUUUAAAACCAAACCUUACAAAACCUAACAUUACCCAUCUCCCGUUAGCUAAUCUUAACCUUUAGGUGUUAUAUAACCCAAAGUAAUGUGAGGUAUAUUUCAUGAAGAACAUAAAAUAAAGGUUCAGUUCAGGUCUGAGCUUUAUUGUCCCUGAGGGAAAACUAGGUUUACAGUUGUCAAUUCAAAAUGGUUCAUAACAAACAAUAUAGCGUUUAACCCGGCUAUGUAACACUGUGUAAAAAAUACAAUAUUACAUAACAAAUGUAAUAAACGUAACAUAAAGGAAUUCUUGGGUUAGAUAGAUAUCAUAAUGUAACAGGAAAUAUGGUUAUAGAGCAGAAAAGGAGGAAAACUGAAUAGAAGUGAAAUGAAUAGAAUGGAACAGCUGACAGGAGUGAAAUGGAACAGAUGGGAUCAGAUUAGAAAAGAGGUGAAAAGGACUGAAGAACAUGGGAUAGAAAAGAGACGAAUAACGGGGAAAAGAAUAGAUCUAAUUAUUUUCAAAAGCAUACAUUUGGCUUUGAGUAAAGCUCUUCAGCUGGUUCUGAUGGUACAUACUGUAUAUUUGUCAUGGUAGGCGGAUAUAAGAAUCUGAACAUGGUGUCACUUUGCAAAAGUACAUCUCUGUGCGGUGCAGACACCUCCUCUGCCUUUUUCUCUGAACUGAUCUGAGAUUAAAUUCAGAGAAAGCUCUCAUUCAAGGUUUGGAGUCAAGCAUCUGUGGUGUUAAAAACAAAACGAGGAUCACACUGACGACGUGCUCGACACGGCAGUAAUCACAUUCACUGCAUCUGCGAGUGGAGCCUUGAGAAGGAAUGCUUAAGAAAGAAAAAGGAGGAAGAGAGGAAUUCAACAAAAUCCUCCUCAAAGAAACAAUGAGCAGUUAUCUGAAGACGGGUUUCAGUUUCCAUUACAGACACACACAAAAAGACAGGAAGACAAAGAGCGCUGAGUGAGGGCGGAGACUUCGACUUGAAAGCUGAAAUUUAAUGACUCAAAAGAAAUCUUCAACCUGCCAGUUUGAGUUUCCUUCAACAGAGAAACUCCAGACAGAAAGAAGCUCUUUACUGCCCUCUACUGGUCACACGUCCCUGAUUCUCUGAACCCUCUGGGGGUUUUUGGAAGUGUGCUGUUACACCUGGAACCACACCCAGUUCAUCCUUUAAACCACACCUUAACACCCGCAGUAAAAGCAGCUUCAGUGAACCCUCUCUGAGAUUAGAGCUUUCAUGCAUCAGAGUGCAAUUUUAAAGUCCUGAUUGACGAUCUGAGAACCAGUUAAAAAAAUUAAGCCGUUGAGGCAGAUUUGAAAAAAGCGUUUCACCCCCCACACACAAACCUCUCCCCCAUGAACCUGUAUCGCCCUCCCCACGACACACCCCCUCUGGCAGAAGAUCCUACGCUAGCUUCAAAUAGGAUCCACCAUGUCGGAUUGUUAGUGACUUGCGGCGGUAAACGCCAGCUCUGCUUGCGAGCGCCGUCUGCAGCUGCCUGAACAGCUACCGUGUUGACAUGUCAGAGACUAAUCAGAGUUAUUUAUGUAACAUGAGCCACGAUAAAAGGAGAUAAAAAUGACCUGUUCAACAAAAACUCUGCUGUCUCAGCGUCUGUUUUCAGGACCAAAUCCUGGCGGAGCUUUCUCCACCGCUCCAAGGAUGACCCGAUGGUUAUUCACGUUAGAUUCCUCGCUUGGUCACAUUUCCUCUCCCACUUCACACUUUCUUCUGUCGGUUUGCAUUUUCGGUAAACAGAAGUGUUUUUUUUUCGCGUCCUUCUCCAUCAUAGCUCCUGUAGCUAAGCUGCUACGCUACUUUUAGCCGCUCAGAGCUCCGAGGAGGGCCGGGAGAGUGGGAGGGGAUGAGUCAGAACUACGGGAGAGGGGUGUGUCGAAUACAGUGAGUUGAUUGGAUAGAGAGGCGGAGCAGGAGAUUGACCAAUAGGAGCUGUCCGGGACAGAUGGCUCCCAUUGGUCAAUGUUUUUGCAGCCCUUCACCUGAUAGGGUGAUCGGAUUUUUUCUAUUCUUUUUUCUGUGACCAUCACACUAUAGGACCAUGAUCGCCAUAGAAACAAUGUUCAUAAUAAUUACCAAUCUCUCUAAUCGUCAACCAUGCCUUUAAGUAAAACUUUUAACAUUUUUAUAUGACAAAUAAAUGUGUUCACAGAGGUCGAUCACUGCAGGUUUAAAGCCUUUCCUGAUAUUUUUAACCUAAAUAGAGCCUGAGGUGUAGAUUUGUCAUCAGGUUUGAAACGUUGAGCAGUAAUCCUGAAUCAGACAGAAGGAGACUCUUUUUUUCUAUAUAUACUCUGUUCAGAUGAUCAGAGUGUCAAACCUUUAAAAGCCAAACACUUCGAGCAGAUUUUAUUUUCCUAUUUCUCUCACUCAGAGUGAAAAAAAAGCUGCUGCACUGAGACUGAACGGACUCUUAUUUUAUCGAUAAUCUUCACCAGUUUGUAGCCGAGCUGUUGGGCACCGUAACAAUCUUGAUCCUGGUUAUUUAUGUGAUUGUCGUGGAGAGUUUCCAUGCUGUUAAUGUCUGGAUUUUCUCUCUCCGGGUCUCCACUGGAAAUGAUGAACUGCAUCAGGCUUUGAACUGCAUUAUUCUUGUUGGAGAGAAUCAGAGAAACCACAGGAAGCUUCUUGAGUUACCCUUCAAAACAAAAGAGCCGGGCAUGGAGGCAGAACAUGCUGUUAUCUACCUCCUGUAAAGAUCACUCUCUUGACUGGGAGGAUCAUGUUGGAUGAUCACAGACAGCCUGUGCGUCUAACCCGGGAUUUCCUCCACAUCCGAUUUUUGCCGUCCAUCAAUUCCUACCAGAUCCCUUUGUGAGGCGAAUUUCAUGGUGGAUUAUGGACAGCAGGAAUCGCAAGAGCUAACAAGAACCCACAGAUUCACAUGAAAUUGUGCGAUGACGAGUUGUCUCUAUAAAGACAGACACAUAGACAUACAAGCAGUAGAUUGUGUCCUUCCAGAGGAGGAAAUCUACUUCUAGACUUCUAGAAUCAGCAUCUCCUCAUCCAUGGUGUCAUCGGGGUGAAAUGACGUCUAAAAACCUUUCACUUGUUCGUCUCCGCCCGUUUGCAUGGUGUGAAAUAUGAUCCUCCUGAAACACCGAGUGUUUUAUUUUGAAAAGAUACCGGAUGUUUUAUUUUGUGUCUGUGCCUGACUUCCUUUCCAGCACGGGUUAAUCUGUGCUGAAUUUAUCCGCCACGCUCCGGCGUCCAGAAAAAAUAGAACUCUUGUGAUCAGCUGAGGAGUCCGGCGAUCCGCAGAGGAACGGACAGAAGUCGGUGGAAAUCGACACGUUAACUUGAAUGGUUACGAUCAGCUACGAUCGGAGGAUACGGUCUUUUCGUAGACGCUCCGGAUGUGGUGGAAAUUGGGGGUUAGAGACAAAGUGCAGCACACAGGACUGGACCACCACCAUCACACAACAAGCUGAUAUCUGCAGAAGUUCUCGGACGACACCGCCUCAUCACCAAUGAUGACAGGAGCGAGUACCAAGAACUGAACCUAAACUUUCUGGACUGGAAUCUUUGGAUCAAGACAGGAAAAAAAAUAAAAAAUAAAAACAAGGAACUGGUGGUAACUUUCUGCAGAGACCCACCCCUCCCACACUGGUGAACAUUCAGGGGAGGGUCUAGAGAUUGUGGACUCUUAGAAGUACCAGGAUGUUCACCUGAACAGUAACCUGGACUGGACUACCAACACAAACUCACUCUACAGGAAAGGCCAAAGUAGACUCCACCUCCUGAGGAAGCUGAGGUCCUGUGGGGUCAGGGAGAUCUCCUGAAGUCCUGUCAUGACUCUGUGGAGGCCUCAGCCGUCUCCUGUGGAGUGGUCUACUGGAGCAGCAGAAUCACAGACUGAACAAAGUGGUGUCUGUUCCCAUCAUGCAACAGUCCACCAACUCCAAC